GAUGAAGAACGUAGCAAAAUGCGAUAAGUAAUGUGAAUCGCAGAAUUCAGUGAAUCAUCGAAUCUUUGAACGCACAUUGCGCCCGCCAGUAUUCUGGCGGGCAUGCCUGUUCGAGCGUCAUUUCAACCCUCAAGCACAGCUUGGUGUUGGGACUCGCGUUAAUUCGCGUUCCUCAAAUUGAUUGGCGGUCACGUCGAGCUUCCAUAGCGUAGUAGUAAAACCCUCGUUACUGGUAAUCGUCGCGGCCACGCCGUUAAACCCCAACUUCUGAAUGUUGACCUCGGAUCAGGUAGGAAUACCCGCUGAACUUAAGCAUAUCAAUAAGCGGAGGA
This 332-nucleotide unclassified non-coding RNA is filed under the name soil metagenome. RNAcentral describes it as "partial contains 5.8S ribosomal RNA, internal transcribed spacer 2, and large subunit ribosomal RNA". The stretch from base 1 to 120 matches the Rfam family "5.8S ribosomal RNA", at positions 35 to 154 of the family's 154-position model. The record is from RNAcentral.